Manihot esculenta (cassava) is the source of this 207-nucleotide long non-coding RNA. RefSeq lists it as uncharacterized. Lineage: Eukaryota; Viridiplantae; Streptophyta; Magnoliopsida; Malpighiales; Euphorbiaceae. The record is from RefSeq and is a predicted model, not a curated record. The transcript is spliced from 2 exons.
AAAACUAGGCAGAGAACCACAUCCUCAUGAGCUUUUUGAGGCCACACAUAAGAGAAAGGGGACGGAGGAGCUUGUUGAUGCGAGGUCAAAAGCUAUUUAUGAUAAAUACGUACAACUGAAGGAGGCUGCAACACAGCAACAGGAGGGAAGCAAUGAGCCGACGCCUAUAAAUGAGGCCCAGCUGUACUACGAAGCGGUUGGCGGGCA